Molecule: ribosomal RNA, 394 nt
Filed under: Gordonia bronchialis
Lineage: Bacteria; Bacillati; Actinomycetota; Actinomycetes; Mycobacteriales; Gordoniaceae
Description: bacterial SSU rRNA
Rfam family: Bacterial small subunit ribosomal RNA
Source: RNAcentral
CGUGGGUGAUCUGCCCCUGACUUUGGGAUAAGCCUGGGAAACUGGGUCUAAUACCGGAUAUGACCUUUUGGUGCAUGCCUUCUGGUGGAAAGCCUUGUGCGGUUGGGGAUGGGCCCGCGGCCUAUCAGCUUGUUGGUGGGGUAAUGGCCUACCAAGGCGACGACGGGUAGCCGACCUGAGAGGGUGAUCGGCCACACUGGGACUGAGACACGGCCCAGACUCCUACGGGAGGCAGCAGUGGGGAAUAUUGCACAAUGGGCGCAAGCCUGAUGCAGCGACGCCGCGUGAGGGAUGACGGCCUUCGGGUUGUAAACCUCUUUCACCAGGGACGAAGCGCAAGUGACGGUACCUGGAGAAGAAGCACCGGCCAACUACGUGCCAGCAGCCGCGGUAA